This is a long non-coding RNA of Solea senegalensis (Senegalese sole), 2208 nucleotides long. RefSeq lists it as uncharacterized. The transcript is spliced from 2 exons. The record is from RefSeq and is a predicted model, not a curated record. Lineage: Eukaryota; Metazoa; Chordata; Actinopteri; Pleuronectiformes; Soleidae.
GUCAGACUUUGUUUUCUCACACACUUCACGUGCCCCUUUCACUUCUGCGCCAUCUGGCAACGCAAACUUUGAAAGCUCCCUUUGAUUUUUCAAAAUAGUGGCUUGGUACUCUCUCUCACCUGCACAUGCUUUAUUUUUUUUUAUUUAACCCGGUAGAAAACCAAUUGAGAUCGAAAUCUAAUUUGUGACCUGGCCAAGAGGUCACCCUUGUUCACCCCGGAUUAGAUAUAGGAGACGGGUUACAAACAAUAAAAUUCCCUUGAGGUCCUGGAACUAUGCCAAUAUCGCAUUUUGGCCACACCUGACCUCCUUGCCAAUUUUCAGGAGUUUCUAAGCAAGUUAACCCCCUCAAAAAUGACCAGAAAUCCUAAGGAUAUUAUUAUUAUUAUAAUAAUAAUAAUAAUAAUCCUCACAGUCACUGCUUCUGUCUGCCAUUGUUAGUGGCUCAGCCCCUAAUUAGUCAUUUUUACACGCGCACACACACAUACCAGUUAUUGAAAGGGGAUUUGUCCUCCACAUUUAACUCAUCCUUAUUACACACCAGUUGUGAACACACACAAGCCAUUGGGUGCCUCAGCCUAACCAUCCUGGGGUUGAACCAGAGACCUUCCAGUAACUAGCCCAAUUCUUUUCCUCUUGGCCAUGGACUGUAAUGCCCGAUAGUUCUUACCUCAGUAAGAAGUGGUCAUUUAAUUAUCCUCCUGCUUUCCCCAGUGCUUGCUGCUAAAACCCCCUAAAUGACCCAUGUGACACAGCUCUCCCGCCCGCUCCACACGUCAGGCGCCAUCUGACCUUGACUGACCCAGUAGCUGAGGGGGCGUUAAGCCCAGUCACCUGAUUCAAGCCUUUUAAUAUGACUGGGCAUUUCCUCAGUGCCUAUGUCCAUUGCUCAGUUGUCCUCAGCUUCCCUUUAAAAAAGAAAAAGAAAAAAAGCUGUUUUUGUUUCUUAAAUGCAUUCCAGUACCUUUGUGGGAUCCUUAAUUAGUAUUUGUUUCAGUAUCAACAGGCAGACUUUUAACUUUCUUCUAUAUUCCAGCAUAAACGUAUGGUAUCAUAAGGCAAGAAGGAAGUGAGAAGUGCAAAUUACUUAUAACGGAACAAUAAGAAAAACAUGUUGACAGAGUAAAACUGAUGGGGGUACAUUAGAAGUUGAAGUCCAUAGUGUAAUGAAAUGAGAGCAAAUACUUAACAGUCGCAGUAAAUGGUGCAUGGCGCAAAAAAUAUUGGUUUUGUUCAAAUCAAUAAAACAGAACCGAGUGAAUGUUACGCCGAGGUUCAGACAUGAACAUGAAUGUGCUGCCUUUUGAGCGCACCAAUACAAAUAUGUGUGCGUGUGUGUUUGCACCACAGUGACCUUGACGCCUGUAACGACAACAGCCUCUCAGGUGACUGCCGGCGUCCACUGUUUUUGUUGAACGUCUGCUGCCAAACACAAGAGCAGGAAAACCCUCACCUCUGCCCCACUUCAUCAGCUCCUUGCAACAUCUGACCCUGUUGUUGCCGCUCACGUGUGUGAGAGGGAAACAUUGAAGGAUGUUGGUCCAGUGUUCCUCGUCGAUAAACGGAAGGAUCUGAACGAGAGUAACGAGAUUCUGCAUCAUGAUAACAAACACGAUUGCUAAGUAGCUUUGUUGUGAUACAUUAAUGGCUGUGGUCCAUUAAAUGUGGUGCUCAUUGUUUACGUUUUCCGGCGGUUUGUCGCUGAGAUUCAUACAACGUGUCCUUAUAGCUGCAGGUCAAAACCAUAUCUGGUUGUGUCAUCCUGUGGAGUCUUUUGAUCAUACAUCAAACAGCAGGAAGUGUGGCAUUUGAUGAAAACGUUGUUAUCUGCUGCCACUGUAAUGACCUACUCAGCCCUCGUGUCGCUCAGUCGGUGUUGUGUUUGUUUUUUCUCGAGGAGCCUGUGUACACACACACACACACACACACACACACACACACACACACACACACACACACGUUAUUUUGAACAAGACAAACCCAUCGAAGUAGCACAUGGGUAUAUUAAUUAGUCUUGACUUGUAUUGUUAAACAGAUAAUUACCUCCUUUGUGAUGAUGUGUGUGCUGAGCUAAGGAUGCAUACUAAUUAAUUUCUGAAUGUGCAAAAUUGAUGAGAGGCAGUGCAUGUCCCUCUUGUUGUAAUUGCACUUAAGUGCAUUUAAGCACAAUUCUGCCAUUGUCAACGUUGUCUCCACAUAAUACAACUU